Molecule: small nucleolar RNA, 132 nt
Organism: Atta cephalotes
Lineage: Eukaryota; Metazoa; Arthropoda; Insecta; Hymenoptera; Formicidae
Rfam family: Small nucleolar RNA SNORA79
About the family: ACA65 (SNORA79) is a member of the H/ACA class of snoRNAs that guide the sites of modification of uridines to pseudouridines.
Source: Rfam
AGACAUCUGUUCCUCUGACAAGGCUUAUUUUGCUACGUCAGAUUUCAGAACGUCUUAGAAUAAAACUGGAUUGCUUCACCCAGAACUGUAUCUUGCAAUUACAUUGUCUGGCUUUUGCGGAUUCAUACAAUA